GUCUACGGCCAUGCUACCCUGAACAAGCCCAAUCCCGUCUGAUCUCAGAAACUAAGCAGGGUCAGGCCUGGUUAGUACUUGGAUGGGAGACCACCUAGGAAGACCAGGUACUACAGGCA
This 119-nucleotide ribosomal RNA is filed under the name Pteropus alecto (black flying fox). RNAcentral also lists the same sequence under 1 other name. The record is from RNAcentral. Lineage: Eukaryota; Metazoa; Chordata; Mammalia; Chiroptera; Pteropodidae.